UACGAGGGGAGCUAGCGUUGUUCGGAAUUACUGGGCGUAAAGGGCGUGUAGGCGGUACCAUAAGUCAGAUGUGAAAGCCCUGGGCUUAACCUAGGAUGUGCAUUUGAUACUGUGGAACUAGAGAUCGGGAGAGGAAAGUGGAAUUACGAGUGUAGAGGUGAAAUUCGUAGAUAUUCGUAAGAACACCAGUGGCGAAGGCGGCUCACUGGACCGGUAUUGACGCUGAGGUGCGAAAGCGUGGGGAGCAAACAGG
Molecule: ribosomal RNA, 253 nt
Filed under: uncultured bacterium
Lineage: Bacteria
Description: partial 16S ribosomal RNA
Rfam family: Bacterial small subunit ribosomal RNA
Source: RNAcentral